This 481-nucleotide ribosomal RNA is filed under the name uncultured bacterium. RNAcentral's name for it is "bacterial SSU rRNA". It matches the Rfam family "Bacterial small subunit ribosomal RNA", at positions 28 to 511 of the family's 1533-position model. The record is from RNAcentral.
GAUGAACGCUAGCGGCAGGCUUAACACAUGCAAGUCGAGGGGUAUGCCGAUUUAUCGGCAGAGACCGGCGCACGGGUGCGUAACGCGUAUGCAAUCUACCUUUCACAGAGGGAUAGCCCAGAGAAAUUUGGAUUAAUACCUCAUAGUAUAGCAGUUUCGCAUGAAACCACUAUUAAAGUUCCAACGGUGAAAGAUGAGCAUGCGUCCCAUUAGCUAGAUGGUAAGGUAACGGCUUACCAUGGCUACGAUGGGUAGGGGUCCUGAGAGGGAGAUCCCCCACACUGGUACUGAGACACGGACCAGACUCCUACGGGAGGCAGCAGUGAGGAAUAUUGGUCAAUGGACGCAAGUCUGAACCAGCCAUGCCGCGUGCAGGAUGACGGUCCUAUGGAUUGUAAACUGCUUUUGUACGAGAAGAAACAACAUUACGUGUAAUGUCUGACGGUAUCGUAAGAAUAAGGAUCGGCUAACUCCGUGCCAG